This 247-nucleotide ribosomal RNA is filed under the name uncultured bacterium. Its description in RNAcentral is "partial 16S ribosomal RNA". It matches the Rfam family "Bacterial small subunit ribosomal RNA", at positions 86 to 334 of the family's 1533-position model. The record is from RNAcentral.
AGAUGGCGACCGGCGCACGGGUGAGUAACACGUAUCCAACCUGCCGAUAACUCGGGGAUAGCCUUUCGAAAGAAAGAUUAAUACCCGAUGGUAUAAUAAAGCCGCAUGGUUUAAUUAUUAAAGAAUUUCGGUUAUCGAUGGGGAUGCGUUCCAUUAGGCAGUUGGUGAGGUAACGGCUCACCAAACCUUCGAUGGAUAGGGGUUCUGAGAGGAAGGCCCCCCACAUUGGAACUGAGACACGGUCCAA